This 482-nucleotide ribosomal RNA is filed under the name uncultured bacterium. Its description in RNAcentral is "partial 16S ribosomal RNA". It matches the Rfam family "Bacterial small subunit ribosomal RNA", at positions 29 to 523 of the family's 1533-position model. The record is from RNAcentral.
AAUGAACGUUGGCGGCGUGGAUUAGGCAUGCAAGUCGAGCGCGAUAUGUAGCAAUACAUGGAGAGCGGCGAAAGGGAGAGUAAUACGUAGGUAUCUACCCUCGGGUCUGGGAUAGCAGCGGGAAACUGCUGGUAAUACCAGAUAACGUCUCCGGACCAAAGGUGUGAUUCCACCUGAGGAGGAGCCUACGGCCUAUUAGCUAGUUGGUAGGGUAACGGCCUACCAAGGCAAAGAUGGGUAUGGGGUGUGAGGGCAUGCCCCCACUCACUGGGACUGAGACACUGCCCAGACACCUACGGGUGGCUGCAGUCGAGAAUCUUCGGCAAUGGGCGAAAGCCUGACCGAGCGACGCCGCGUGCGGGAUGAAGGCCUUCGGGUUGUAAACCGCUGUCGUAGUGGAGGAAAUGUAGGAGAGCUAUCCCUUCUACUUGACUAAUACUAGGAGGAAGGACCGGCUAAUCUCGUGCCAGCAGCCGCCGUAA